RNAcentral lists this long non-coding RNA (367 nucleotides) under Olea europaea (common olive). Its description in RNAcentral is "long non-coding RNA (OEUR_LNC000423)". The record is from RNAcentral. Lineage: Eukaryota; Viridiplantae; Streptophyta; Magnoliopsida; Lamiales; Oleaceae.
UCUAUUCUAAUAUUUGAGAUGUAGUAGAUCUGGAUAUGAGCUGAAAAAGGUUAGAAUCUCCAACAUACCAAAUACAAAGAUAAAAAGAAAUCAUUGAAGGUCAGUAAUAUUGCAUACAUUCACUUAUUUAUACAUAACAAAUAUAAUGCUUGAAAAACUUGCACUGCUAUCAAAUAGUAAAAUAAAGAACAGAUUAAAAGCUACCUAGAAAAUGCAAAAAAUGAUCAAAUGCAAGUAAAACCACCCAGCUGCAGAUUAACAAAAUCCAGUAGACAACAUCACGAUACUACAGGGGGCGGUGGAGCCCUCAAGGUUGGGUUCAACGUUUAACAAAAUCCAGUGGACUGCUUCGUUCUGCAUUCGCGUG